Molecule: long non-coding RNA, 856 nt
Filed under: Gallus gallus (chicken)
Lineage: Eukaryota; Metazoa; Chordata; Aves; Galliformes; Phasianidae
Description: lncRNA (ENSGALG00010020846.1)
Source: RNAcentral
CAUUACAGACGCAGGUGGGGAGGUGCUGCAAUAGCAGUGACUCAGGACUGCACCAUCUCGCCCUGCUGAUGGGCUCUGUGUGGGCUCAUCCUGCCCAGGACACCGUCUCCAAGGGCUGGGAGCCACCUGUUGGGCAAAAGUGGGGCAGAGGAGCAGCGUUGCUCAACCCAACCUCAUUCACCACUCAUCCCAGAGCAUCAUCUCCAUCACCUGCAGCAUAAUUCCCUUUGCAAGCCAAGCAGCAAGUCUACUUUCUGCUUCAGUUGCUUCCCUCUGCAAAAAGCGUUUGCUAACUCCCAUUAUCCAAUAUUUAACAGUGCACAGCAAUAAACAAAGUGUUAGAGAUGAGAGUACACGCCGCGUGUGUUGUGAGGCUGCAUUCAAAAUGCAGAGGCUGUCUGCUGAGGGAAGCAGUGCUCUGUGCAGCUUUCAGGUGCGUUCUGCUCUCUAUCAGAGCCCAAUUAGAUUCCUGCUCCGGGGAGAACAGCUCUUUGCGGAGCAGAGAUGGAGCGCCCUACCUGCACACAGUGAUUGCUGCUUAUCAUAAAGAUGGACAUGGCUACCAAAAGAUGCACAUGGAAAGCAUCCCCCGGCUUCCAGUUCCAGCCUCCCACCUCAGCCGUGCAGCCGCUCCAGAACAACAUCCAUCCCCAUCGUUCCUCUUGCUUUCAAUCCACAAUCCAGAUUUGCCCGGAGACCUAUAAGAGCUCUUAAGCUAUCUUGUCUGCUCGUGUGCAGAGGAGGGGGAGAAGAAAGCCCCACGGUGGAGAAAACAAGGCUGCGUGAAUUGGAGGGGUUAGGAAAACACUCGUACCUAUGCAGGGAAGGCACCAAGUGAUGAAUCAAUUAAAUACCU